AAGUCGUAACAAGGUUUCCGUAGGUGAACCUGCGGAAGGAUCAUUAACACGUAUCCAACGUUAAACCCCCUGUGAACAUUGACCCCACUACCAUGUAAUCGCCUCGUAGGAAACUGCUGGGCAUCAAACGAACAACUGUUAACAAUGGAUAUCUUGGUUCUC
This 162-nucleotide unclassified non-coding RNA is filed under the name fungal sp. RNAcentral describes it as "partial internal transcribed spacer region". The stretch from base 1 to 46 matches the Rfam family "Eukaryotic small subunit ribosomal RNA", at positions 1786 to 1831 of the family's 1831-position model. The record is from RNAcentral. Lineage: Eukaryota; Fungi.